CCUACGGGAGGCAGCAGUGAGGAAUAUUGGUCAAUGGGCGCUAGCCUGAACCAGCCAAGUAGCGUGAAGGAUGACUGCCCUAUGGGUUGUAAACUUCUUUUAUAGGGGAAUAAAGUGCAGUAUGUAUACGGCUUUGCAUGUACCUUAUGAAUAAGGAUCGGCUAACUCCGUGCCAGCAGCCGCGGUAAUACGGAGGAUCCGAGCGUUAUCCGGAUUUCUUGGGUUUCACGGGAGCGUAGGCGGGUUGUUAAGUCAGUUGGGAAAGUUUGCGGCUCCACCGUAAAAUUGCAGUUGAUACUGGCAUCCUUGAGUACAGUAGAGGUAGGCGGAAUUCGUUGUGUAGCGGU
This 347-nucleotide ribosomal RNA is filed under the name uncultured bacterium. RNAcentral's name for it is "partial 16S ribosomal RNA". It matches the Rfam family "Bacterial small subunit ribosomal RNA", at positions 338 to 682 of the family's 1533-position model. The record is from RNAcentral.